CAGAAUCCAACCUAUGGAUCACUAAGUACACACUACUUCUUAAUUUCAUCUUGCCCUGGAAUUGAGAAGAAAACAAGGUCACUUAGGUAUAAACCUGGGAUUGUAAGCCAAUAUCCUCUGGGCCACCAAGAACAGCAGUUCAGAAAAUUUAUCUUUGCUGAUCAUAAAUGACAAGCUUCUAACAACCUCACAACUGACUUGUUUUCAGCUUCUGGGGAACAAUUUGCAGCAGGUGUUUGCUUAUCUGGAUCUGGCUGGCGAACCCUGGUGCUUCUCCUGGGCUGGCUCACACACAUGCACAGAAGCCAUUCUGUUU
Suricata suricatta (meerkat) is the source of this 316-nucleotide long non-coding RNA. RefSeq lists it as uncharacterized. The record is from RefSeq and is a predicted model, not a curated record. Lineage: Eukaryota; Metazoa; Chordata; Mammalia; Carnivora; Herpestidae. The transcript has 3 exons.